Molecule: long non-coding RNA, 1413 nt
Filed under: Equus asinus (donkey)
Lineage: Eukaryota; Metazoa; Chordata; Mammalia; Perissodactyla; Equidae
Description: lncRNA (ENSEASG00005031753.1)
Source: RNAcentral
CAGCCCCCUCGGGCAGGCACGGCACUGACCACCCGCUCCCUGUGCAGAGAUGGCCCUGGACGAGAACUGUGCCGAGACCCAGGACGGGGAGCUGGAUGGGCUGUGGACCACCAUUUCCAUCUUCAUCACGCUCUUCCUGCUCAGCGUGUGCUACAGCGCCACCGUCACCCUCUACAAGGUGAAAUGGAUCUUCUCCUCGGUGGUGGAGCUGAAGCGGACGAUCGUCCCCGACUACAGGAACAUGAUCGGGCAGGCAGCCUAGGGCCACUCCCCCUGGGCGGGUGUCCAGGGCCGCCCCAGACUGUAGACGGCAUCCACGUCCAGCCGUUCAUGCUGCUCAGCCGCCAUGCAGACCUGCUCCUCUGCUUCUGACCUCACCAAAUGCUGACCUACUGCCCUGUGACCUCAUGGCCACCACUACCUGCACCUCGCCUUCUGGCCUCAAGCCACCGGAGGCUGCAUCCUGCCCCCUGACGCCCAGUGGAGAACAGAGGAGACGGCAGUUGUAACCCUGAGCAGAGCUACUGGAGGCCCAUGGGCCCACGUACAGCAGCCAUUAAGAGUUGAUGGGGCCAUGUGGACGCUGCAGCAUUGGGGCGGAGAAUCCCUCACCAGGACGGCCCCAGGUUGGCAUGUCGGUCACCAUGGACGAUGUGGAGGGCCGGCCUUCCCAUGGCCGUCUGGGCAGGGACAGGCCAGCAUGCAAACAGCAUCUCUGCCGGGCUCCAGGGCGCGGGGUGCCGGGAGGAGACGCCUGGUUUCAGAUCCUGGAGUGGGAGCAUCUGCCCCAAGCCCCGGAGGCCUCGGGGCCAUCGUCCACCAGCAGGGAAGCUUCUGGGUGUACCCCUCACGGUCACUCAGAUGACAGCCACCUGAGUAGACUGCUGGGAAGAGGGCCUGCGCCCAUGGCCACAGCAGGACCCCUGGCGGGUGGAGGUGGCAUCACCUGGGAAGAGUCCAUAUCUGGCCAGAGGGCCUCCUGGGGAGGGGCCCGAGUCCCCUUCCACAGGAAUUCCGAGUUGCUCCACGGGGCAGGGAGGAGAGACGAGACCACCAAGGAGAGAGCUGGGGCCUCAGGGAACCGGGCAGGGGGACCGAGCCAGACCCCUGACCUCACUGCCCUGGGAACCAGUGCCCCCUCACGUCUCUGAACAAAGGGCAAAUCAGCAUCAAGGACGGGGAGGACACGGCUGCCCACGGGAAGCAGAGGCGGCCCCGACCCGCCUGCCAGGGCCCUGCACAGAGAGACGGCUCAAGGAAAGCCCACAGUGGGAGCUUGGGUAGCUUUUCUCCUUCUUGAAGUUUCUACAGCCCAUUGAUUGUCUUUACAGUUUCUUUUUCUAAAACAACAAUAAAAUACCUGGAAAAUUCCAUAACUGCCCAUGUUGACGCCUCGUGGAACCCACAGCCUGG